This 62-nucleotide microRNA precursor is filed under the name Drosophila virilis. Its description in RNAcentral is "microRNA dvi-mir-9703 precursor". Lineage: Eukaryota; Metazoa; Arthropoda; Insecta; Diptera; Drosophilidae. The record is from miRBase by way of RNAcentral.
UAUUGCAUCUAUAGACUGAGCUUUCCUUUUUAAUAUAAAGCCAGGCUUUGGAUGCACUAAAU